RNAcentral lists this unclassified non-coding RNA (1948 nucleotides) under Drosophila ananassae. RNAcentral describes it as "GF18944". The record is from RNAcentral. Lineage: Eukaryota; Metazoa; Arthropoda; Insecta; Diptera; Drosophilidae.
GAAAAGUCGGACGCACUGCUGCGCGUCUCUGCGCGAGAAUAUUCUAAGACUUAAUUGAGCCCCAAAUAAUUAUUUUAACUCAAAAAAUAUUAAAAAAGGAGGCCACUAACGCAUAGAUACAGAAAAAGUAUUGAUUUUCGUCCAAGAUGGCGGACGACGAGCAAUUCAGUUUGUGCUGGAACAAUUUCAACACAAAUCUGUCGGCUGGGUUCCACGAGUCGCUAUGUCGCGGCGAUUUGGUGGACGUUUCCCUUGCGGCGGAGGGGCAGAUCGUGAAGGCCCACCGAUUGGUUCUAUCGGUGUGCUCGCCCUUCUUCCGCAAAAUGUUCACCCAAAUGCCCUCCAACACCCAUGCCAUCGUAUUUUUGAAUAACGUUAGCCAUUCGGCUCUGAAGGACCUGAUCCAGUUUAUGUAUUGCGGGGAGGUGAAUGUGAAGCAGGAUGCCCUACCCGCGUUUAUCAGCACCGCGGAAUCGCUGCAAAUCAAGGGGUUAACGGAUAAUGAUCCUGCGCCGCAGCCACCGCACGAGCCCAGCCCCCCGCCAGCCGCACCCCAUGUACAACAGCAGCAAGUGGCUGCUCAGCGCGUACAGCGCCAGCAGCCGCGUCCUGCCGCCCGCUACAAGAUUGAGACCGUGGACGAGGGAUUGGGCGACGAGAAGGGCACCACCCAGAUUGUCAUCCAGACCACGUCAGCACCACAAGCCACCAUUGUACAACAGCAACCGCAGCAGCAGCCGACCCAAAUCCAGACGCAGCAGCUGCAGACAGGAACCACGACAACGGCCACCCUGGUGACGACCAACAAACGCUCCGCCCAGCGCUCUAAUUUGGCCCAGAGCAGUAGCGCCGGUGUCAAGCGUACGAAAACGGCUAACGUAAUGGACCCACUGGAAUCGGAAACUGGAACAACGGCUACCACCACAACGCAGCAAAUAGUGCCGCAGCAAAUCACCGUUCAGACCACUGUUGUAUCCGCGGCGGAAAAGCUACCUCAGUCGCAGGUACGCCAGCAGCAGCAACAACAGGAGGAAGCUGAAUACAUUGAUCUCCCCAUGGAAAUAAACACGAAAUCUGAACCGGACUACACUGAGGACCACGGUGAUGCUGCAGGCGAUGCGGAAGGCCCUUACGUUGAAGACGACGCCUACGGCGAUAUGCGCUAUGACGACAGCUACUUCACCGAGAACGAGGAUGCGGGCAACCAGGCGGCGAACACCAGUGGCGGUGCCGUCUCUGCCACCACAUCCAAGGCUGUAGUCAAGCAGCAAAGCUACAGCGAUUCUUCGUUCGUCGAGGGUGGCGCGGAUCAGAGCACUACAGAGGCUCAAGGUCUAACUGAUGUUGAUCCUAGUAUCUUGGGUGAUUUUGGCAACGAAAGUUUUCUGCCCAAGACCCGGGGAACGGUGCGACAAAAAAUUCGUUGCGGAUUGGCUGAAGAUCAGAAAUGUAUGCGAACUCUUGACGAUUGGGAUCGAAUUCGAUAUGAGAGGACAGUCACCGGAGAUGUUCUUAUUUACGAUGGACAACGUUAUAUGCGGCGAGCCAACUACGGAGACAACAUUUACUGGGUCUGUGCUAAAAAAAGACUGAACUGCAAAGUGUAUAUGAUUACCCACAAGAACAAGCCCACUCUGGUGGCCAUUUCUGGAGUGCACAAUCACGUUUAGCACCAAUAAGAUAAUACUAUUAUUUACUUUUUAAAACAUCAUUACGGAAACAACAUUCCAAAAGCGUCAGAAUAGGUUUUCUUCUCUCAUCUUACUCAGAUAUAUCUCAGCAAUUCACAGAGGUUAUACUCUAGGAUAUCCGCCACCAAGAAGUCAUUUUCCUGCCACCUACAUAAUUCACAAGAACAAACAGCUCACAAUGUUUACAACCAUACUUUAAUAUAUGUUAUAGAACCAAUAAACUGACACAAACCUAAUAGGUUUAUAGUUGAAUCCCA